Molecule: ribosomal RNA, 996 nt
Filed under: uncultured Alcanivorax sp.
Lineage: Bacteria; Pseudomonadati; Pseudomonadota; Gammaproteobacteria; Oceanospirillales; Alcanivoracaceae
Description: bacterial SSU rRNA
Rfam family: Bacterial small subunit ribosomal RNA
Source: RNAcentral
UAUUGGCCACUUUGUACAAAAGCAGGCUCCGAAUUCGCCCUUAGAGUUUGAUCAUGGCUCAGAUUGAACGCUGGCGGCAGGCCUAACACAUGCAAGUCGAGCGGCAGCGGGGAGUAGCUUGCUACUUUGCCGGCGAGCGGCGGACGGGUGAGUAACGCGUGGGAAUCUACCCAUUUGUGGGGGAUAACUUGGGGAAACCCAAGCUAAUACCGCAUAAUCCCUACGGGGGAAAGCAGGGGAUCUUCGGACCUUGCGCAGAUGGAUGAGCCCGCGUCGGAUUAGCUAGUUGGUAGGGUAAAGGCCUACCAAGGCGACGAUCCGUAACUGGUCUGAGAGGAUGACCAGUCACAUCGGGACUGAGACACGGCCCGAACUCCUACGGGAGGCAGCAGUGGGGAAUCUUGGACAAUGGGGGCAACCCUGAUCCAGCCAUGCCGCGUGUGUGAAGAAGGCCCUAGGGUUGUAAAGCACUUUCAGUAGGGAGGAAGGCUUCGGGUUAAUACCCUGGAGUACUUGACGUUACCUACAGAAGAAGCACCGGCUAAUUUCGUGCCAGCAGCCGCGGUAAUACGAAAGGUGCGAGCGUUAAUCGGAAUUACUGGGCGUAAAGCGCGCGUAGGCGGUUAGUUAAGUCGGAUGUGAAAGCCCAGGGCUCAACCUUGGAACUGCAUCCGAUACUGGCUAGCUAGAGUGCAGUAGAGGGAGGUGGAAUUUCCGGUGUAGCGGUGAAAUGCGUAGAGAUCGGAAGGAACACCAGUGGCGAAGGCGGCCUCCUGGACUGACACUGACGCUGAGGUGCGAAAGCGUGGGGAGCAAACAGGAUUAGAUACCCUGGUAGUCCACGCCGUAAACGAUGUCUACUAGCCGUCGGCGAUCUUGUAUUGUUGGUGGCGCAGCUAACGCGAUAAGUAGACCGCCUGGGGAGUACGGCCGCAAGGUUAAAACUCAAAUGAAUUGACGGGGGCCCGCACAGCGGUGGAGCAUGUGGUUUAAUUC